Molecule: non-coding RNA, 715 nt
Filed under: Pongo abelii (Sumatran orangutan)
Lineage: Eukaryota; Metazoa; Chordata; Mammalia; Primates; Hominidae
Source: RNAcentral
AGUGCUCCUGACUGGAGAGCCCAGGCUGAGAUGGUGUUAAAUGCUUUUACCACGUGGGCUCCUGGCACCAACUGAGCAAGCAAUGUCACCUUGAGCAAGUUACUCAAACUCUUUGUGUCUCAGUUUCAUCAUCUGUAAAAUGAGGGAUUGCUAGUACCUACUUGAAAGAUACUGUGAGUGAGGACAGCAAAAAUCAGCUAAUGACCAUGAACAGAUCCCACCCCACAGGCCUUGGAAGCCUGAGGCAGUAUUCUUCUGGGAUAUUUCCAACUAGGCUUCCCAUGAGCAUGUUAGAGCCAGCCUAGCUGGUGAAUUUUACUUCUGUCACCUCUCAGAGGGAAGAGGUCUGAGAGGCUCAGGCCUCUUCCAGCUUUUGAGGAUUCCAGCAUAGUAGAAACAUAAAAAGGUCCAAAGAGAAUUACAAAAAUCAUCUAAGUUCUUAUACUUAACACGUCAAUGCUUACUAAAAAAAUCAAUCAAUCAAACUUUUGUUUGAAAUAAUUAUAGAUUCCAAGGAAGUUGUAAAGAUAGUACAGGAGGUCCCUGUGCAUCUUUCACCCAGUUUCCUCCAGUUUUAUGCCACUAGAGUACAAUAUCCAAACCAGGACAUUGACAUUGGAGCCAUAUGCAUGUAUAUUUCCAUGUCAUUUUAUUUCAUGUGUAUGCUCAUGUACCCAUCACUUCAGUCAGGUUAGAGACUAGACCAUCCCUCAUG